GAUGAACGCUGGCGGCGUACCUAAUACAUGCAAGUCGAGCGAACAGACGAGGAGCUUGCUCCUCUGACGUUAGCGGCGGACGGGUGAGUAACACGUGGAUAACCUACCUAUAAGACUGGGAUAACUUCGGGAAACCGGAGCUAAUACCGGAUAAUAUAUUGAACCGCAUGGUUCAAUAGUGAAAGACGGUUUUGCUGUCACUUAUAGAUGGAUCCGCGCCGCAUUAGCUAGUUGGUAAGGUAACGGCUUACCAAGGCGACGAUGCGUAGCCGACCUGAGAGGGUGAUCGGCCACACUGGAACUGAGACACGGUCCAGACUCCUACGGGAGGCAGCAGUAGGGAAUCUUCCGCAAAGGGCGAAAGCCUGACGGAGCAACGCCGCGUGAGUGAUGAAGGUCUUCGGAUCGUAAAACUCUGUUAUUAGGGAAGAACAAACGUGUAAGUAACUAUGCACGUCUUGACGGUACCUAAUCAGAAAGCCACGGCUAACUACGUG
This 497-nucleotide ribosomal RNA is filed under the name uncultured bacterium. RNAcentral describes it as "partial 16S ribosomal RNA". It matches the Rfam family "Bacterial small subunit ribosomal RNA", at positions 28 to 507 of the family's 1533-position model. The record is from RNAcentral.